RNAcentral lists this ribosomal RNA (355 nucleotides) under uncultured bacterium. RNAcentral describes it as "bacterial SSU rRNA". It matches the Rfam family "Bacterial small subunit ribosomal RNA", at positions 9 to 346 of the family's 1533-position model. The record is from RNAcentral.
GAGUUUGAUCUUGGCUCAGGAUGAACGCUGGCGGCGUGCCUAACACAUGCAAGUCGAGCGAAGCACUUUACUUUGAGAUCUUCGGAAGGAUAAGUUUUGUGACUGAGCGGCGGACGGGUGAGUAACGCGUGGGUAACCUGCCUCACACAGGGGGAUAACAGUUAGAAAUGACUGCUAAUACCGCAUAAGACCACAGCACCGCAUGGUGCAGGGGUAAAAACUCCGGUGGUGUGGGAUGGACCCGCGUCUGAUUAGGUAGUUGGUGGGUAACGGCCCACCAAGCCGACGAUCAGUAGCCGACCUGAGAGGUGACCGGCCACAAUGGAACUGAGACACGGUCCAUACUCCUACGGGA